This is a non-coding RNA of Nelumbo nucifera (sacred lotus), 4204 nucleotides long. NCBI's taxonomy places the organism in Eukaryota, Viridiplantae, Streptophyta, Magnoliopsida, Proteales, Nelumbonaceae. The record is from RefSeq and is a predicted model, not a curated record.
CAGCUCACCGACACCUUCACUCCACACUGGUGCCUCCGUGAACGAUGAAGCCACCAGCGACCCUGUCCAUGGUUCUUUCAAUUUUUUAUUGAACCUCUCCAUUUUGUAGAGAACAUAGUACAUGCAAUUGAAUGAAGUAAGUCUCUUUGUAUGGAAUCGAAGGAACAUGUGAAGGAAAGAAAACGAUCAUGCCCUGAAACCAAGCAACCACAAUGUGUUGGAUCCAUUUGCCAUGUUUGUAUCUCUGGGGAGUGGUUGGGCCAAGAGCUCACCCUAAGGAUUUAUAGAUGUUUUACACAGUCGGAGGUUAAACAGAUGUGUCGCCAUUACUCUUUGCUUAUUGUUCAUCGACCUCGGGUGAUAAAGUCCAAAACGUGGUGGGAAAUGAAGAAAUCUUCGGAUUGUCGUCCCAGUUACUGCCCCUCUUGGGCCCUUUCUUGGCCAUUAUCGUAGAUAGAAUUUGCUUCAAGAUAUUGUUGGCUAUCGUGCAGACAUCCUUUGUCUUCAAGAGGUUGAAUUUAAUAAGGCUGCACAGUCUUUGAUUGGUGCAAUGGUUCCAAGUGCUUAGAAUAAAGCUGCUUUGAAUUGAUUGCUCAAGGAUAAUAUUGCACUAAUGACUCUUCUGGAGGCAAAAUUUAUUGCUAAUAAGUGACAAAUUUUCUAUAUAGUAAGCACACGUCUUAGCCUUUUUAUCUUGUAUUUUAGUCUUUAUUCUCGGUUAUUCAUCUAUGACUAUAUUCCUCAAAUUGUUGUAGUUUGAGUUUAUGGCUUCUUUUAUCCUUGCAUCCAUUCCAUGAUGACAGAAAGGGAGAUACAGCAAUUUGUCUUAGUGUGCUGCAUUAUAUAUUGUGUUUUGUGUGUAGGUGACAAUGUUUGUUCACCUUUUCAUAUGUCCUGGCUUAGCUGACCAUGAUAAUUUUUAUAUUUAUUUGUAUACCUUGUUCUCUACUAAUUCAUGGCUAUAAAAGAAGGUAUAGGACUGUUACUCAAUGUUGGUCCCAGCUAUCUGGGGUCUUUGUAGUGGUGGGCUGGAUGGGGACUUAACCUUUGUCAUUGUUUUGGCACAAAGUGGUUGUUCUUAUCUUGAACUCACCUUAUCUUGCUUGCCAUUUGUCCUUAUCGGCAAUGCCAAUGGUCACCCAUGCUUCAUAACCAAUAGUUUAUAAUGGCUUUGCUGCACUUGUAAUACAAGUUCCAAGGUCUAUUUGUUGUGUCAAACUUUUUGUGUAGUUUAAAAACAUGUGGCUUUUUAAUUUUGUGCUUAGAGCCUCCGACAUUAUCAAUUACCUCGGGUUCAAAGGCCUAUGGCUGAUGUUUAUGCUUCAAUAGAGCUAUAGUUCAUCCAAUGUUCUCUCUCUCUCUCUCCACCCCUCCUCAAUCCUUUAAAUGUUAAUGUUAAACUGUUCCUUCUAAAUUUAUACUGGUGGACUACCAAUAUGAUUUAUUGCAUUUAGAGAAAAAAUCUGAUAAGUGACUACCUAAGCUGCCCCAACUUCCAUCAUAGCAUUGAUGUGUGACCAAACAUCUUCUAGUAGCUUCUUAUAGACAAUCUGAUCAACUUCAUGGUUGUUGCAUGUUACUAGUAUGCCAUACCAGUAACAUGAUAAUAUUAAAAUGUGAGAUUUUUGUUAUUUCAAGAAAAAAACAACAUUAAAAGGGGUAGCUGAAGAUCCAUGCCAUCAAUUACAUGGUUUGUUGCUCUGUACAUCUGUAUGAACUAUGAAUUUCAAUGAGAUUAGUGAAAUAUAUCAAGCAUCUGGUUAAGUAAUUAGCUCAUGCCCAGGUUCCCUAACUGCUGGUGGUUAUGUUUGUAGCCAGGAUAAACCAACUAAUAUAAAACUUAAAAUGGUAGAAUGAAAAACCUCUCAAGAGAUAAUAUCAAGGUAGAAGGAAAGAAGUUAUUUCUUGGGGGAUUUCUUAGACAGAGGUUUCUUGGUUGAGUUGGAAAUGUCCAAACAAAAUCAAAUACUCUUUUCUGUUGCCAUGUUCUAAUCUUCAGAAUUUUGGCUAAAAUCCUCUAAGAGAUAUUAGGAUAUUUAAAACUUAUUUUGAGAUUGAAAUUUGAUGUGGCUAGAAGGUAUAGAAAGAUUUUGGAAAUGGAUAAGCUUUUGGUUUUGGACUUUGUGAGUGUGGAGUUGAGAUCUGAAUAGAUGGAAGGAAAAUGAUAUUGGUAUUUUUAGAUAAGGUUUCAGAUAUGAAACAAAGACAUAUGUAUCUUUUUCUUUCCCCUUUGCACUCUUGUUUGACAUAAUUGAAAAUCUAGGUACCAUUGAGAAAAUGACAAUUGACAUGUAAGGUAUAUUCUGGUUUCCUUGAUUCCAUCUUUUUGCAUGAAAAAGAAAUAUAUCAUAGAUGGUAAAGAUGCAAAUUUCUUUCUAUUUGUCUUUUUCUAUAGAUUUAUGAAUGUCGAAAUCCAUAAAGAUCUUCUAUUGUUAACAGAAUACUUUUGCCCUCCCUAAUCCCUAACUCCAUGUUCCUUCAUAUCUUUAGCUUACUUGAAUCGGAUUCCAUGCACUUAUUGGACUUCAACUCCUGUCUUUAUUUCCAUGAAAUGCCAACAAAAAUCUUUACUAAAAAUAAGUAGAUCUUUAGUAGCUAUGAAAGUCAAAACAUUUAACAAAUUAAAGAUGUUUCUUGUAGAUCUUUGUCUUGGGUAAUAGCAUUAAAAGUAUCUUUGUAAAUUUGAUAUUUGUUUACUGCUUGCUAGAUAUUGUAUUCUGCUGAACUUUUAUAUUGAUUACUUUUAUGUUGGGUUGUCAGUUUCCUGCAUUACUCUUCAUGUGGUAACACAUUAGUUGUUUACUUAGAAUACAGACCAAUAUCUUAAAAACUAUCUUGAGCUACCUACUCAGCUAACUGGGUUAACUGGUUCAAUAGGACAAUUCACCUAUUCUAACGAUCAAAACCAUAAAAUAUUCAACUGCCUGGAUAAUUGGAUCAAUCAUCUGGGUUAAUGUCAUUUUGAAAACAUUGGCACAAGCCCCACUUUUAGUUUAAGAACUAUUCUAAAUUAUGCAUGUGUUGGUACUCUACUCUAGGAAAUUGAAACUCAUUUGUUAACAUGAUGAAAUUAGCAUUUUCAAUUUAUUUUCUUCUCGAUAUAAAUUCACAAAGUGAUGCUGGUACCCCAUUGAUUUGGAUUGUUGGGAAUGGUCAACAAGAUGAUGUAAAGUUACCCCAACAUGAAUAAGCAUUUACUGUUGUACCAUUUCUUUUGCUAACUGUGAACCUUUAUUUCAGUUCUCACUGUCAUGCUUAGAAUUGUUGAUUUAGUUGAGCGCAUCUCUUAGUCUUCCAAUACUUAUGGUUAACUAUUCUGGUUAAUUUAGGUUACCAUGUAGUAAAGUUGCCUGGUUUCUUGCUAUUAUUCAUCUAUGAUGCCUUAUGUAUGAAAUUUUGUUAUACAAUUAUAAAUUGGUCUGUAAUUGUUCUAGAAAAUACAUGUCUCUCUCUCUUUCUGGAGUUGUUUUAGGCAUUGCUCCGUCUUAGACACUGCUCCACCUCUCUAUUGCCUCAGAGAUCCAAGCGUUUUAUUUAUUCUCCCUUUCAGAUCAAUAGAAGAGGGCACGAAAAAAGGCGUUAGGUACAACUUUACAACUUUCAUGUUUUGAGUUUUGAUAGAUUUGGACUGCAUCGAGGUCAAAAUCGAGCCCGAAGUCUAAGCCAAUUUGUAGAGAAGCCCAGUUUGCAGUAGAAGCCCAAUUCACAGAGAAGCCUUACAGCGACCUAAUUCUUUGAGAAAGCCCAAUACGAAUUUAGCAUGCAUGAAUAAGAAUCAUCAAAGAGUCCUAUCAGAUUCAAUUUUCUAUUGUAUUUCUAGAAAGAUAAAAGAUAUUAAGAUGACCAGUUAAGAGAUAGGAGUAGAUUAGAUCUAAUCUAGGCAUUAUCUAUUAGGGAACUAAACUCCGAAUGAAGAAAGAACUCCUUAGAGGAUCAGGAGACAACUCCCUCUUAAGUCUAUAUAAAGGGGGUGGACUAGCCCCCAAGGGCAUCAUAAAAUCCUCCAAGAGAGCUUCAGCCUUGAGAGAGAGCAAUCGGCAACCAAGGAGGAAGAAGCAGAGUUCGCCUCCUCUCAUCUGGAAGCUGUGAUUUCAUCAUGAAGUAUUUGUAAGGUUUUAUUUUCUGGUUGAAGGGUUUGGGAAGCUUUGAUUCUAUAACAUUGUGAGAUUUAAUUGAUUUUAUUUUAGUUCAUUGUUUAUGGGUA